GGAGGUGUAGCUCAGUUGGUUAGAGCGCUUGCUUGACAUGCAAGAGGUCGUUGGUUCAAGUCCAAUCAUCUUCACCA
RNAcentral lists this transfer RNA (77 nucleotides) under Firmicutes bacterium ADurb.Bin146. RNAcentral describes it as "tRNA-Val". It matches the Rfam family "tRNA". From Rfam's summary of the family: Transfer RNA (tRNA) molecules are approximately 80 nucleotides in length. Their secondary structure includes four short double-helical elements and three loops (D, anti-codon, and T loops). Further hydrogen bonds mediate the characteristic L-shaped molecular structure. tRNAs have two regions of fundamental functional importance: the anti-codon, which is responsible for specific mRNA codon recognition, and the 3' end, to which the tRNAs corresponding amino acid is attached (by aminoacyl-tRNA synthetases). tRNAs cope with the degeneracy of the genetic code in two manners: having more than one tRNA (with a specific anti-codon) for a particular amino acid; and 'wobble' base-pairing, i.e. permitting non-standard base-pairing at the 3rd anti-codon position. Lineage: Bacteria; Bacillati; Bacillota. The record is from RNAcentral. RNAcentral also lists the same sequence under 3 other names.